Molecule: transfer RNA, 56 nt
Filed under: Phytophthora infestans (potato late blight agent)
Lineage: Eukaryota; Oomycota; Peronosporomycetes; Peronosporales; Peronosporaceae
Also listed under: 1 other name
Rfam family: tRNA
About the family: Transfer RNA (tRNA) molecules are approximately 80 nucleotides in length. Their secondary structure includes four short double-helical elements and three loops (D, anti-codon, and T loops).
Source: Rfam by way of RNAcentral
AGCUCAGUGGUCGAGAGCUGGCUUUGGAAGCCACAGGUCGGUGGCUCAAAUCCACC